UGUGGGCUGCUGCUGCUCGCGGCGACCAAACCUUACUGCUCAGGUUCCAUUUUCGUUCAUUCCAAUGCUUGCUUUACUGCUUGCCUGGCCUCUGAAUGAAUUCUGCCUUGCGUGCUACUGAUUAGUGAUGGUGGUUGAGGUAACUACUUCCUGCUAGGUGCUUGCCUAGCUUCAGUGAGGCAGGCAAUAAUGCCGGGAUCAUACAUCUAGGAUACCUAUUAAUUCAUAACUUGUUUCUUUUCAAUGGCAGAUUUUGUGUACAAUCUUCAGAAUUACUGUAUGCUGCUCUGUCUGCCUGCAAGAACUUCCCCAGCAUGUAAUUCCGGUGAGGUUGCCGUCACCUCUGCACCGAACUCCUCGUGUCGAUCUGGCGGAGUAGGGUUCUUGCAAUUUGUCAGGGUGUACAAUCUGAACCAUCAAUUUGGUAUUUUUACUCAAGAAACUGAAUUUCAAAAUAUUUUAUUAUGGAUAUAUUUAAUUAGGAUAAUACAAGCAUGCCUGAAAUCUGAGCAGCUGAAUCUCUAGCUCUUCUGAAAAGCUGCUGCUAUUCAGGUGUACAAUCUGAACCAUCAAUUUGGUAUUUUUCCUCAAGAAACUGAAUUUCAAAAUAUUUUAUUAUGGAUAUAUUUAAUUGGGAUAAUACAAGCGUGCCUGAAAUCUGAGCAGCUGAAUCUCUAGCUCUUCUGAAAAGCUACUGCUAUUCAAUGCAGACCCGUUUCGAUGCCUUCCUUCCAACCACGGCGUCCUGCCUGACCGGCUCAGUGCGCUGCCUCUCGCGACGCCGGACGCCACGGUGGCGCCCAAGCCCCCUGUGCCGGAGGCCAUCUCGGAGAGCUCGAGUGCAAAUUCCCAUAUUGCUGCAAUUUGUUUGUUCUAGGGUCUGCUCUGAUCGUGAAUUGUAAAGGGGCUGGGGUUCCAGGCGGAGGGGCUCAAGGUGUUCAGGCAUGCGGUGUCAUACGAGUUCAACUCGAGGUCGGCAAGAAGGUCCUACCAGUGCGCCUGCUCGAGGACGUCAACCACUAGGACUUCAUUGACAUCCCCAUCUUCCGCUCCCAGACCAACGCCGAUGACACAAUGCUCGCCGGGAUCUAGAGGGUAGGGAAAGGGAGCAUCGUCGAGCCCACCAUGCCGCCCUUCCAGCUCGCCCGGCCCAUGCAGCUCUGGGUCUAGGAUGGCGACAAUGUCAGGCUCCCCUUCCCAGUAAGUCCAGUAUACCAGCUCUGGAUCUGAAAUAAGGAUCAUAAUGUCUUAGUAAGGACAACUGAUUAAGAGUUGAACUUGAAUAUUAUUAAGACAUCAUAUUGGAGAGGAGGAUAUUAUUAAGCUGAUAUAUGAGUCCAGAGGUGUAGCCGCUUGAAAGAAGUAGGAUAUGGAGGAGGCAGAGAAGGAGCAUACAUUCCUCCAUGCUAAGCACUGCUCCCUAUCCACCACCAGUGAAGUAUGUCUGUUCCUCAUCUAUGGGCGAAUUCAAAGAGAUUUUCCCCAUUCGUGCAUAUCAAUAUUGUUUCCUAGAUGAUUGAUUUCUAUGCAAGAAAUUGCUUUUGCCCAUCUACUAGAUUUGAUCUGAAUCUUUAUUUGUUGGCAUUUUUUUGUGGUGGUCAUCUAUGCCAGGUUGUAUCCUACACCAGGUUUAAUAUGCCAGGACGUGGAUGUGAAGCAUUUUUUUUCCUAUUUUGCAGUGAUCAUUUCUUCACUAUAAAGUGCAAAGUAAGAUGCAGUUAUAGAUAUAUGAUGAUCUAUAUUGUACAAAAGGGAAAAAGAUCUCGAAUUUGGUUUUCUCUUGAGCACCAAUGGCCACCAGAGGAUCCUUGACAUACAGAGGUAUGUUAUAACUGAUGAACUGAUGACAUUUCACUUGGUCUCGUUUGUCUGCCCAACUGAAUUUUCCGAGCAAAUUAAAUUAUUACAACAGAUUAGCCAUUGUAUAUAUUUGUAUUCUUCUCUAGGACUUGUUGACAACUUGCUGUUGUUAUGUAAGAUAUUUUGGGCCUAAUGACACAGCUUGCAUGCAUGUCUUUUUAAAUGGAGCUAUUAUGAGAAUUUUUACCUUUA
Long non-coding RNA from Panicum virgatum (switchgrass), 2052 nucleotides. RefSeq lists it as uncharacterized. Lineage: Eukaryota; Viridiplantae; Streptophyta; Magnoliopsida; Poales; Poaceae. The transcript has 4 exons. The record is from RefSeq and is a predicted model, not a curated record.